RNAcentral lists this ribosomal RNA (301 nucleotides) under uncultured bacterium. Its description in RNAcentral is "partial 16S ribosomal RNA". It matches the Rfam family "Bacterial small subunit ribosomal RNA", at positions 509 to 807 of the family's 1533-position model. The record is from RNAcentral.
CAGCAGCCACGGUAAUACAGAGGAUGCAAGCGUUAUCCGGAAUGAUUGGGCGUAAAGGGCUCGCAGGCGGUUUCUUAAGUCUGAUGUGAAAGCCCCCGGCCCAACCGGGGAGGGUCAUUGGAAACUGGGAAACUUGAGUGCAGAAGAGGAGAGUGGAAUUCCACGUGUAGCGGUGAAAUGCGUAGAGAUGUGGAGGAACACCAGUGGCGAAGGCGACUCUCUGGUCUGUAACUGACGCUGAGGAGCGAAAGCGUGGGGAGCGAACAGGAUUAGAUACCCCGGUAGUCCCUGUCUCUUAUAC